AGGGUAAUAGCUCAGUGGUAGAGCACAUGCUUAGCAUGCACGAGGUCCUGGGUUCAAACCCCAGUACCUCCA
Molecule: transfer RNA, 72 nt
Filed under: Camelus bactrianus (Bactrian camel)
Lineage: Eukaryota; Metazoa; Chordata; Mammalia; Artiodactyla; Camelidae
Also listed under: 2 other names
Rfam family: tRNA
About the family: Transfer RNA (tRNA) molecules are approximately 80 nucleotides in length. Their secondary structure includes four short double-helical elements and three loops (D, anti-codon, and T loops). Further hydrogen bonds mediate the characteristic L-shaped molecular structure. tRNAs have two regions of fundamental functional importance: the anti-codon, which is responsible for specific mRNA codon recognition, and the 3' end, to which the tRNAs corresponding amino acid is attached (by aminoacyl-tRNA synthetases). tRNAs cope with the degeneracy of the genetic code in two manners: having more than one tRNA (with a specific anti-codon) for a particular amino acid; and 'wobble' base-pairing, i.e. permitting non-standard base-pairing at the 3rd anti-codon position.
Source: Rfam by way of RNAcentral